AGAAGAAGAAGAUCUUCACGACACAGCCUCUAAUUUUACGGCCGUAUUUUGGUCAGCCGUAAAUCGUAACGCGUGGAGUCGGAGGAAGGUUAAAUUAAAUCCUACAAAACAAGCAAUCAUGCCGUUUGUGGACCUUCAGUCACGGCUUGGUAUUAACCUGGACAGCUGGCUGCUGCUGCAGAGCGGACACCAGCCCAAUAAGAGGGCGGCGCGCUGCCACGCCUUUGAGAAGGAGUGGAUUGAAUGUGCCCACGACAUCGGGCAGACCCGCGCCAAGAAGGAGUGCCAGCUGGAGUUUGAGGACUUUUACGAGUGCAUGCACAGGCAGAAGACGAGGAGAGACAGACAGAUGCACUGCCCGCUCACUGUGAAUGUGCUGCAGCAGCAGGAACUUCCUCGCCUCGACCCAGACGCCUUGAUUUGCUCUCUAGCCACGUCUCGUUCCUUCGGAUCAUGAUGGAGAUGAAGUGCUGAUUUAAGAGGAAUGUCAGCUAAGACAACUUCAGAGUCUGACAUGAAUCUCACAUCUGUUGUUUGUUGAACAGCUAAAUGUAGCUUUUUAACAUCAGAGUUGCAGAGAACCAUAUCUGAUAAGACUGGCUGCAUCUCUGCUGGAUUCUUUCAUUUUGAGCAACCGAAUAUUAUUUGGACGUUAACAGCACAGAACUGAGCACCAGAGGCUGCAAGCGAUCCGUCAGCAGCGUGACAAGAUGAUGAAGGAGGGCACCUACACACCGCCACCCUGCCACUCAGGCAAGGC
RNA transcript from Perca flavescens (yellow perch), 760 nucleotides. It is a transcript of the gene named NADH:ubiquinone oxidoreductase subunit S5, with no coding region annotated. The record is from RefSeq and is a predicted model, not a curated record. Lineage: Eukaryota; Metazoa; Chordata; Actinopteri; Perciformes; Percidae. The transcript has 4 exons.